This 3776-nucleotide long non-coding RNA is filed under the name Canis lupus familiaris (dog). RNAcentral's name for it is "lncRNA (ENSCAFG00845005686.1)". Lineage: Eukaryota; Metazoa; Chordata; Mammalia; Carnivora; Canidae. The record is from RNAcentral.
UUUUUUUGGAAAAAAAAAUGUCUACUCAAAUUGCUGCCCACUUUUUAAUUGGAUCGUUUGGGUCUUUUAGUUUUGAAUUGUAUAAGUUAUUUAUAUAUUUCCAAUAUUUACUCCUUAUUGGAUAUAUCAUUUACAAAUAUUUUCUCCCAUUCAGUUGAUUGACUUUUUUUUAUGAUGGUUUCUUUUACUUAUGAAAAAGCUUUUUAUUUAGAUGGAAUCCCAAUAGUUUAUUUUUGCUUUUGUUUCCCUUGCCUGAGGAGACAUAUUUAAGAAAAUAUUGCUAUUAUUGAUGUCAGAGAAAUUAUUAUCUGUAUUUUCUUUUAGGAUUUUUAUGGCUUCAGAUCUCACACUUAGGUCUUUAAUCCAUUUCGAGUUUAUUUUUGUGUGCGGUGUUAGGAAGUGGUCCAGUUUCAUUCUUUUCCAUGUAGCUGUCCAAUUUUCCCAGUGCCAUUUAUUGAAGCAACUGUUUCUCUAUUGUAUAUUCUUGUCUCUGUGGUGUAGCUUAAUUGACCAUAUGAGCAUGGAUUUCUUUCCAGGCUCUGUGUUCUGUUCCAUUGAUCUAUGUCUAUUUUUUUUGUGCCACCACCAUCCUGUUUUGAUUAAUAAGGCUUUGUAGUAUAUCUUGAAAUAUGGAAUUAUGAUGCCUCCAGCUUUUUUUAUCUCUCAAAAUUGCUUUGGCUUUGGGGUCUUUUGAGGUUCUUUACAAAUGUUGGGGUUAUUUCUUCUAGUUCUGUGAAGGUUGUGUUUAUAUUUUGAUAGGGGUUGCAUUGAAUGUGAAGAUUGCAAUCUCUGGAUCUAAUUUGAAUUUUGAUACGGAUUAACAAACUGUUAGCAAAAAAGAUGGUCAUGGGGAAUUUGGGGGAAAUUUUAUACCCUGACUACUUUUCUGAUGUUAGUAAGGAAUUAUUGUGGAAUUAAGGAGUGUUAUUAAAGAAUUACUGUGAUUUUUAAAAAGAUUUUAUUUAUUUAUUCAUGAGAGACACAGAGAAAGAGGUAGAGACACAGGAGGAGAAGAAGGCUCCAUGCAGGGAGCCCAUUGUCGACUCUAUCCUGGGGCUCCAGGAUCACUCCCUGACCAAAGGCAGAUGCUCAACUGCGGAGCCACUCUGGUGUCCCUAUUGUGAAAUUUUUAGAUGGCAAAGGUAUUUUUAAAAUAUUUCUGAAGAUUAUUUAGCUUUUGACAUGGAUAUAAAAUAUUUAUGUGAAAUUAUUUGAGAUUAACUGAAAAAUAAUCAGAAGAUGAAAAGGACAUGGAUGAGGAUAGCAGAUGGGAAGUGGAUAGAGAUGACACAAGAUGGCUAAAUCAAUAAACAUCAAAUCCAAGUGAUAAGUGCAUGUAGAUGUUGCUUUUCUAUACAUUUUAAACUUUUUCUAAUAAAAUGGUUUCUUAAAAAAUAUUUUCUAGACAGGAGGGUCUUUAGAGCAUCCUGGAAAAAAGGAAAAAAAAAAAAGAAAAGAGGGGGUAAUAGAUUACUUAGAGAAAAAAGAAAGUAGACUGUUAAUACCUUAACAGUAACAAUGGAAGCAUAAACAACAAAAUAACAUAUUCAAUAAUGAAUAGAUUGCACAGUUAAUUAAAAAAGGGAAAAUAUUUCCAGAUGUACAGUAGCUUACUACUUUUGUUCCAGCAAAGUAUCUCUGUAGGAAAUUGAAAAAUGAAUUUAAGAAGAAGAGAAAAUUCAUCCAUGAAAUCUGAGAGAAAAAUCAUGAUCAAAGGAAACAGAAAGUGUUUGAAAAAUCUAAACAAUUAAAAAAAAUCUAAACAAUUUAAAGGACCACUGACUAAUACUAAUAAUUGUGGCAUGAAUAAAUCAAUGUAAAAUAAACAUUAGAGAACAAAGUAUGAAUGUUAAGAAAUUACUCAGACAAAAUAAUCUGAAGUUCAUUAUAUUGCUUCGGACUGAGAACACCUAUCAAAUAGCAUCCACAUUUUAAGUUUAAUAUGAGUGUUAAAUUUUUAAUUUACUAAUGAAUAUAAGUAAGUGUGAAAUUCCCAAAGAAAAAGGAAUAAGGAGAAAGAAAAUAGUGUAACAAAAAACAGAGGAUGCAAUACAAACCAAUUCAAGAAAGUGGUUAAACACAGAAUAAGAGAGAAAAUCAUAAAAGUAAUGGAAAUUAAUCCAUAUUAAUCAUUUUAAUAUAUGAGAAAUAUGUGAUAAAUGUAAAUGAUCUAAAUUAUCCAGUUCUAGAAAAAUAUUAUCAGAGUUGAGUUUUUAAAAUUCAGAUUUGAGACUUCUUCAAAAUAAGAUAGUAUAAUCAGUGACAGGCUAAUUAUUACACUGAGAAUAAUCAGGAAAAUAAUUUAAAAUAUAAAAACCAUUCAUUUUUAAGGCAUAAGAUAUUUGCAAAAGGAAUAGGAGGAAGAGAAGGCAUACAUUUUCAAUGAUUGUAGAAACUCUUGGAGUUUAAAUGGUGGUAUUUAUUUAUUUAUUUAUUUAUUUUUCAUGGAGGUUUGUCUGAUUCUUACCUUGGCCAAGAAUUUAAAACGUUGAUUUAGGUCCAGGCAGAGGACUACUGCCAAUAGGAAAAAUAACCUAACAGAACUUUGGUUGGUCUCAUGGAACUGCAGGGACAAAUAUGGAUUCUUGAGAGUAUUUGGACUCUAAAUCCUGAACAACUAAUGGGUCAAAGAAGAUAUCAAAAGAGAAAUUCAAAAUAUAUAUUGAGACAAAUAGUAAAACACAUCACAACUAAUGGAAAACAGCAAAAGCAGUUCUGAGUAUCUAUAACAGUAAAUGUCUAUAGAACAAAACAAUACAAAACCCCAAAGAUCUCCAAUAGACAACCUACCUUUAUAUAUCAAGGAACUGAAAAAUGAGAGCAGACUAAAACCAAAGUUAAAGCAGAAACCAAUGAAAUAGAGACUAAAAAGAUAAUAAUCAACAAAAACUAAGAGUUGGUUUUUGAAAAGAUAAACAAAAUUGACAAGUCUUUAGCUAGACUAAGAAAAAAAGAGAAAAUUCAAAUAAAAUCAGAAACGAAAGAGGAAACUUUUCAACUUAUACUACAGAAAUCUCUUUAGAAGACGAGGAGAGGUUAUUAUGAACCAUCAUACACCAACAAAUUGAAUAACCUAGAAGAAAGGGGCAAAUUUUAGAAACAUACAACCUACCAACACUGGACCAUGAAGAAAUAGAAAAUGUGUAUAGAUCAAAAACAAAUCAAGAGAAUAAAGCAGUACUAAAAAGUUUCCCAACAAAGAAAAUCCAGGACCAGAUGGCGAAUUCUACUAAAUUUUCUAUUUUCUAAUAAAAAAAAAGAUUCUAUUUAUUUAUUCAUGAGAGACACAGAAAGAGACAGAGACAAAGGCAGAGGGAGAAGCAAGCUCCAUGUAGGAAGCCCGAUGUGGGACUCGAUCCUGAGACUCUGGGAUCACUCCUUGGAACCAGAGGCAGAUGCUCAACUGCUGAGCCACCCAGGUGUCCCUCUACUAAAUAUUUUAAGAAAGAGCUAAUGCUAAUUCUCUUCAAACUCUUCCAAAGAAUUGAGUAGGAAGGAACAUUUCCAAACUUACUAUACAAAGCCAGCAUUAUUCUGACACCAAAGCCAGGUAAAGAUAUUACAAGAAAAGAAAACUGCAGGCCAAUAUCCCUGAUGAAUAUAGAUGCAAAAUCCCUCAAUCUGGUAUGGGAUUCUGUUGCUUCUAGAACCUUUGUUCUUUUCCAAAUCCUAACCUUUGUUCUUAGUGGUCCCCAGGAGACCGUGGCUUACCAAGUGCAGUCAGUGCCCCGAAGAGGGAAAUUCCUGCAAGCUCAUUAGACCUCCAGGGGACAACU